RNAcentral lists this ribosomal RNA (253 nucleotides) under uncultured bacterium. Its description in RNAcentral is "partial 16S ribosomal RNA". It matches the Rfam family "Bacterial small subunit ribosomal RNA", at positions 524 to 776 of the family's 1533-position model. The record is from RNAcentral.
UACAGGGGGGGCAAGCGUUGUUCGGAAUUACUGGGCGUAAAGGGCGCGCAGGCGGUCGUUCAAGUCGAGUGUGAAAGCCCCCGGCUCAACUGGGGAGGGUCACUCGAUACUGAUCGACUCGAAGGCAGGAGAGGGAAGUGGAAUUCCCGGUGUAGUGGUGAAAUGCGUAGAUAUCGGGAGGAACACCAGUGGCGAAGGCGGCUUCUUGGGCCAUUUCUGACGCUGAGGCGCGAAAGCUAGGGGAGCGAACGGG